This is a long non-coding RNA of Mus musculus (house mouse), 819 nucleotides long. RefSeq annotates it as Mir205 host gene. The record is from RefSeq and is marked validated. The transcript is spliced from 3 exons. Lineage: Eukaryota; Metazoa; Chordata; Mammalia; Rodentia; Muridae.
ACCCCUGCCUUAGAAAAACCAGUUUCUCUUUUAUUGUCUGUGGCCAAGCUCUAUUUAGCUGAGCCUCUGCACUCCACCCCCUCUCUUUCCAGCUUCCUUUAGCCCCCUCUCUGCCACUUUCUCCUACUUUCCUAUUGUCUUUUACUAAAGAGAGGACCACGUGUCUCUUUCUCCAGGAGCAACUUCUCUGCCCAGGCCGCUGAGCUGAGCACCCUAUAGAGCAUGUGCCACCUCUUCUAGUCCUCAAUUCUUGAGGGUAAAAGACUUUCCCAAGACUUAAAAAUUCUUUAUUGUUGUUGUUUUGCUUUGUUUUGUUUUGUUUUUUUGUUCGUUUUGGUUUGGUUUCUUUUCCCCAGGAUUCUCUAACCAUCCUCCAGCUUGGUACUCUCUUUAGAACCCCCCCCCCCAAAAAAAAAGUAUUAUUUUGCAUCAAAGGCAAAGCUGAGCCUGAUAUCCGAAGGUAUAGGUACUCCCAUGUACUUGCAGAACUGAGCUGAAAUUCCACAAGAAGCCAAGACUCCUUCCAACCCAGAACUACCUCCCACAGUCUCCUGCCUUCCUUGGUCAGAGCCAACAGACCUGUGUCUCUCUCCCCUUUGAUAGGAAGUGGGUCAGAGGUGGUGUGGGGGCUUCUGUGGUCUUGAUAACUCAAGAAAAAGACAUAGGAUUGAGCCUGAAGGCGCAAGUCCAAAAGAAGUCCACUUAGUAUGAAGUACCUGCCCAGAGAAACACUUUAUGGAAUUAACACUUCCUCAAUGGAGGAGUCUGCUUGAGGAGCCACUUGGCAAAAAUAAAUAAAUAAAUAAAUAAAUAAAUUAA